This 71-nucleotide transfer RNA is filed under the name Candidatus Nealsoniibacteriota bacterium. Its description in RNAcentral is "Candidatus Nealsonbacteria bacterium tRNA-Met". It matches the Rfam family "tRNA". From Rfam's summary of the family: Transfer RNA (tRNA) molecules are approximately 80 nucleotides in length. Their secondary structure includes four short double-helical elements and three loops (D, anti-codon, and T loops). Lineage: Bacteria; Candidatus Nealsoniibacteriota. The record is from RNAcentral.
CGCGGGGUGGUGGAGUAGUACCAUAUGAGGCCCAUAACCUUAAGGCACCGGUGCAAUUCCGGUCCCCGCAA